This 246-nucleotide ribosomal RNA is filed under the name Triticum aestivum (bread wheat). RNAcentral's name for it is "partial small subunit ribosomal RNA". Lineage: Eukaryota; Viridiplantae; Streptophyta; Magnoliopsida; Poales; Poaceae. The record is from RNAcentral.
AUGGAGUGCAACCCUAAGAUUAUUUUCUGGAAUGUCCGUGGCCUCAACUCGGGUGCCAAGCAUGCUGCCGUCCGUAGUGUCAUCUCCUCAGACCGCCCGGCCAUCAUCUGCCUACAAGAAACAAAGCUUGAGCUCUUCACGCCCCCUCUCGUCUCGGAGACACUGGGCCCGGCCUUUGACGCCUUCUUAUUUUUGCCCGGGGUGGGCACGUGUGGUGGCAUCCUUCUUGUUGGAAAUAUGCCCUAG